AGAGUUUGAUCCUGGCUCAGGAUGAACGCUGGCGGCGUGCUUAACACAUGCAAGUCGAACGAUGAUCCCAGCUUGCUGGGGGAUUAGUGGCGAACGGGUGAGUAACACGUGAGUAACCUGCCCUUAACUCUGGGAUAAGCCUGGGAAACUGGGUCUAAUACCGGAUAUGACUCCUCAUCGCAUGGUGGGGGGUGGAAAGCUUUAUUGUGGUUUUGGAUGGACUCGCGGCCUAUCAGCUAGUUGGUGAGGUAACGGCUCACCAAGGCGACGACGCGUAGCUGGUCUGAGAGGACGACCAGCCACAUCGGGACUGAGACACUGCCCGGACUCCUACGGGGGGCUGCAGUAACGAAUCUUCCGCAAUGCACGAAAGUGUGACGGAGCGACGCCGCGUGUGGGACGAAGCCCUUCGGGGUGUAAACCACUGUCAGGGGAAAGAAAGUUCUGAUCUACCCCAGAGGAAGGCACGGCUAACUCUGUGCCAGCAGCCGCGGUAAGACAGAGGUGCCAAGCGUUAGGCGGAAUCACUGGGCUUAAAGCGUGUGUAGGCGGGUCGUUAAGUACCUUGUGAAAUCCCACGGCUUAACCGUGGAACUGCUGGGUAUACUGGCGAUCUUGAGCCACUUAGGGGCUGUCGGAACAGACGGUGGAGCGGUGAAAUGCGUAGAUAUCGUCUGGAACGCCAACGGUGAAAACAGACAGCUGGGAGUGUGCUGACGCUGAGACACGAAAGCCAGGGGAGCGAACGGGAUUAGAUACCCCGGUAGUCC
RNAcentral lists this ribosomal RNA (770 nucleotides) under uncultured Planctomycetaceae bacterium. RNAcentral's name for it is "bacterial SSU rRNA". It matches the Rfam family "Bacterial small subunit ribosomal RNA", at positions 8 to 796 of the family's 1533-position model. The record is from RNAcentral. Lineage: Bacteria; Pseudomonadati; Planctomycetota; Planctomycetia; Planctomycetales; Planctomycetaceae.